CUCUGUGACUCCUACGGGAGGCAGCAUGGGGAAUAUUGCACAAUGGGGGAAACCCUGAUGCAGCCAUGCCGCGUGUGUGAAGAAGGCCUUCGGGUUGUAAAGCACUUUCAGUAGGGAGGAAGGUAGUGUAGUUAACACCUGCACUAUUUGACGUUACCUACAGAAGAAGCACCGGCUAACUCCGUGCCAGCAGCCCGCGGUAAUACGGAGGGUGCGAGCGUUAAUCGGAAUUACUGGGCGUAAAGCGCAUGCAGGCGGCCUGUUAAGUCAGAUGUGAAAGCCCCGGGGCUUAACCUCGGAAUUGCAUUUGAAACUGGCAGGCUAGAGUCUUGUAGAGGGGGUAGAAUUUCAGGUGUAGCGGUGAAAUGCGUAGAGAUCUGAAGGAAUACCAGUGGCGAAGGCGGCCCCCUGGACAAAGACUGACGCUCAGAUGCGAAAGCGUGGGGAGCAAACAGGAUUAGAUACCCUGGGAA
This 473-nucleotide ribosomal RNA is filed under the name uncultured bacterium. Its description in RNAcentral is "bacterial SSU rRNA". It matches the Rfam family "Bacterial small subunit ribosomal RNA", at positions 328 to 793 of the family's 1533-position model. The record is from RNAcentral.